RNAcentral lists this long non-coding RNA (503 nucleotides) under Mytilus galloprovincialis (Mediterranean mussel). Lineage: Eukaryota; Metazoa; Mollusca; Bivalvia; Mytilida; Mytilidae. The record is from RNAcentral.
AUUGACCCCCUAAGGAGUUAUUGUCCUUUAUAGUCAAUUUUUAACAAUUUUCAUAAAAUUUGUAAAUUUUUACUAACAUUUUCCACUGAAACUACUGGGCUAAGAUCAUUAUAGAUAGAGAUAAUUGUAAGCAGCAAGAAUGUUCAGUAAAGUAAGAUGUACAAACACAUUACCAUCACCAAAACACAAUUUUGUCAUGAAUCCAUCUGCUUCCUUUGUUUAAUAUUCAAAAAUACCAAGGUGAGCGACACAGGCUCUUUAGAGCCUCUAGUUUUUCAAGUAGUCACUUAACCAUGAAAAUGAGAUCAAGGACAUUUGAUAUGUAGACGGAAACUUCGUAACAUGAGGCAUCUAUAUACAAAGUAUGAAGCAUCCAGGUCUCCCGCCUUCUAAAACAUAACACUUUAAAGAAUUUAGAUACCCCCACCGCCAGAUCACUAUCCCUAUGUCAAGUUUUCUGUGACAAAAUUUGCAGGCUGGACAAAAAACUUACCACUUAUCAA